Long non-coding RNA from Scylla paramamosain (green mud crab), 6718 nucleotides. RefSeq lists it as uncharacterized. Lineage: Eukaryota; Metazoa; Arthropoda; Malacostraca; Decapoda; Portunidae. The transcript is spliced from 4 exons. The record is from RefSeq and is a predicted model, not a curated record.
GGCAUCUGUGGUGUCAAUGGAAACAAGCCGUGCGUUGGCCUGUGUUGAGGUGACAAAGACCCCAUACAGCUCUCCAGGGCGUGCUGGGAUCUUGGUCACAUACUCAGCCUCUCCUGUGUUGAACAAAGGAACAUGCUCAUUCAGUCAAACACACCACUCUGUAUCUUUCCUUUCUGACUAGUUAAUCUUGUCCGUCUAUAUUUACCCCUGCCAUUAUAUGAUUAGAAGUGUGGAUUAGCAUCCCAGGACCACGUGCUGAAACUCUCCUGCCCAAACUCUCCUGCCCACACCCUGAUUACUUUCAAAAGGCUUUAGUUGAAGUGACAUGAUGUUCGUAUGGUUCUAGUGACAGAUUAACAAGAUGUCUACAUUAUUAAUAGGAGAAACACUUAAGAACUUGGCUAAUCAUCUCCAUGGCCUUUAGCAAUAGUUGUGGUGAGAGAGCAAGGCUUUUCUGAAUACUGGUCCUAGUUUGUACAUCCUCAAAUCUCAUCCAUAUGACUGAAAAUUGAAGAUGGAGGGGCAUGAUCGUCUAAGUCACAUGACACGGCACUUCACUAAAGGUAUAUUUGCAGAAUGACAGAGACAGCCACCACCACCACAGCCAUAACCAUCACUCACCGCUGCACUGGAUGGGUGCCUCCACCUUGGUUACAGGCUUUCCCACUGGCCAGGCUUCAGGAUUCUCAGGGAAAGUUUGCUGGCCGCUGGACAAGGGACGCACCAAGUCACUGGCCCCACUCACCAUUGCACUGCUGGCUGAGUCUCCGAGAACCCCAAGCACCAUCUGCCACAAUCAGGUGAGACACGGUAACUUUACAGCGUAUGGGAUAACAAGGGUGAUGUAAGCAAAUAUCUGUAAAAGUACCCUUAAAAACCUGUGACACUUCAACUAGAGGCUUUUAAAUGUAGUGGAGGUGCAAUGCAGAAUGUUUCAGAAAAUGGACCAAAGAAUUAUAAGAUCUAAUUGAACAGUUAUGUCCAGUUGUUAAAGUGUAAAAACCAUACUGAAGUUUGUGUCAUCUUGAAUAUUCUCAAAGCAAAAUAAUUAAUCAUUCAGUGUCUGAGUGAGGGUGUGAGAGUCUGUAUUUACCUAGUUGUGUGAGUCUGAGUGAGUCUGUGAGAGUUUUGAGUGAGUCUGUGUGAGUCUGUGCGAGUCUGUGCAAGUCUGAGUGAGUCUGAGUGAGUGUGUGAGUCUGUGUGAGUCUGAGUGAGUCUGUGUGAGUCUGUAUGAGUCUGAGUGAGUCUGUGUGAGUCAUCAAGCUCCCUGUCACUGCACCUUGUACAGCAGGGUCUGGGUGAGGGACAGCCUGUACUCUGGUGAAGUCUCCCCAGGCUUGAUGGCAGGAACAACCUCAGUAGCCAGUGCUGACAGUGCCGCCUGCAGUACCAUCUCAUCCUCCAGGCUCUUCCCGGCAAGGGCUGCCUCCGUUGCAGUGGCGCGGAUCUUGGAAUGUGUGCCGUUGCCGCAUCCACCCGUACCUUGAAGCCGGCACUCACAUCAGCCAGGGCAGUGGAGGUCCUAGGCCGCACCUGUAAUGAAGAUUUGCUGUACUGCUGCCGAGACAAGGUAGAGAGAGAGGAAGAUUUGCUGUACUGCUGCCGAGACAAGGUAGAGAGAGAGGAAGAUUUGCUGUACUGCUGCCAAGACAAGGUAGAGAGGAUGAUUUGGUGUACUGCUGCUCAAACAAGGUAGGUGUGGUAGUGUUUAGUAACUGAGGAAAGAUGUGGCAAGGAAGUGGAAGAGUUAAAGGAAAGACUUGUCACAAUUUGAUACUAAAACCUUAAUGUAUUGCACUGACAUGAAAUAGAAAGACAAAUUCACACUUAAACACUUCUGAAAUCUGUCCCUCACAAGCCACACUUUUAUGCUUAAUUCAAUGUACUAUACUAAUAUCAAACAAAAAGACAGAAUCACACUUAGACAUUCCUGAAAUCCAUCCCUCAUAAGCUAAAUCUAAUAGUAAUACUAAUAUCAAACAAAGACAGACAUACUUCAAUACUCCUGCAAUCAUUCCCUCCAUCCAUCAGACCAGCCUCUCCUCACCUUGAUGGUCCUCACGAAGACGUCAUCAGGGAGCGGUGGGAGGCUGACCUGUAGGAUGACCCUUCGCUGUCCCACCAGGUCCACCUCCAUCAGCUCCUCCAGCGUGUGGGUGUCACUGGACCCGUCUGGACUAACUGUACCAAUAAACAUACAUACAAACUUUUAAGACCUGUGGUGAUGGUGGCACCAGCUGUUACCAGACCCACAAAGAUGUCUGAGGUGAAGUCAGGGUGAUUCACUUUGGUGGCAAUGUUUCCUCCCCAACUGCCCAGCUGUGAGAAGCAUGUGACAACACAGUGAAGGUCAGGAUGAGCAACAACUUAUAGAAUUACUCUAACUAAUAGUAAAUUAAGUUCAUGGCAAUACAGUGAAAGUUAGAAGAAUAAAUGUCUCCAACCAGUAUAUUGUAAAUUAAGCUUAUUUAAAUAUUAAGCACAUUUAGUUAAGUUGGAAAUAGAUUGGUAUGUUUCUUGCAGGGACUGCCACAUUUAGGCCUGAUAGAUUUGUGCAGCUUCCUUUAUUUUAAUUAUGUUAUGCUCUUAAGUCUUUACAAGUAAUAAAAGCACAUACUGAAGCAUUUCCAAAAUAGCCUCACUCACUUUGCACAGAAUUUUCUCAUGUUCUUAAGAUUCAGCAGGUAAAAUAAGUGCAAACAAGAGCCCCUCCAAAACUGCUGCACUCACAUUGCGCAGGGACGUGUUGCCAAGGUGCUUCCAGGUCUCGGCCAGGUGGGAGACGUAGGCAAACCCACCAAGGGUCUGGGCGGCGAGGAACAGCUGCUCCAUGAGGCGAGUGAUGGAAACAUUGGCGCCAAACACAAGGGCUUCUGUCUCCAGCUUUACCGCCGACAGUUCAGGGACAUUGCCAGUGUAGAUGUACUCAGUGUAUGCCCCUCCUUCGUACACGGCUGAGAGGAGGUGCUUGUAUAGUUACAGGAUGUACAGUACACACUCAUCUAUAUAUGGAUCAUUGCUACUGCCUAUCUAGUGUCUUUUGAUGUGUUCAUUGUAUGGUUCUCCUUCAUACAUCAAGAGGAGGUGUUCAUUAUAUAGUCACAGGAUAUACAGUACACAUAUCAGCUAUAUGUGUAUUGUAACUGCUGCCUAUCUAUUAUCUAUUGACUGGAGGUAAUAUCAAAAUUCUGACCUAUAAUAUUGUAAAAAAAAAAAAACAGAUUAAUAUUUAGUGAUUUUUCUUUUCUUUUCUUUUCUUCUUUGAAGGAACUAACAAAAGUUGUCUGAAAUAUGUGAGGAUAAUUGCAAAAUUCUGAUCUUUUGAUGUAUAGAAGACACUUGCAUACACACUGCCACUGCAUUACCUCCCAUGCUUACCUUGGGCUGUGUUUCCGCAGACCAGCGUGUACUUGGUCCCCUCAGGAAGUCCAGCGAGAGUGUCAAGCAGUUCCUUAGAGAAAAAGAUGAGAUUAAUCACCCUGCCAUGCUACAAUCACCAGUUAUUAUAAGAUUGGGAUUUUAUUAAAGUUUCCUGGUUAAUUUUCUCUCUAAUUUCUCACCUGCAGGGAGGACGGCUGGUGCCAGGUGGAGUCCUUCAGCUUCAGGGGACUGCCAGCGCUCUUCCCACAUGCCUUCUUCCCCUGCUGGCAUGGAGAGUCACAGUUACCUCAGUCAGACUGUAUUUGCUUGCCGAGUGUCUACAUAUCUGUCAUUAUUAAUGUACAUUAUUGAGCCUGGGCAUAGCACAGCCAGCCACACAGUACAGUAGGGUGGUGCACAAGACUUUCCCUUCCCACCGGCAGAUGACGGGACUAAGAGUGUGAAUGAUGUUCUCACCUGAUUGUAUUUUAGAGGUUUGGGUCAAGUUCAUAAUUUCAUGUCUUUUAAAGUUAGUUUGUCAUAUUUAUCUUUAAAGGUAUGAAUUCAGAACUCAUAGGUAUUAGAAAGCCAUCAUAAAUCAUUCAAUAUAGGAUAUGCUACACUAAAUCCCUAUUCCUUAAGAUUCAAAUUUGCUAUGUUUUGAUGAUUCAGAAAGGUAUCAGCAAGCCAUCAUAAACCAUUCAGUGUGGAAUAUGUUAUACUAAUCCCCUAUGACUCAGAUGGCAGUGUAAACCAGGGGACAAAGGGAGGUCUUCCUCCUCACCUCCCCCUUGGGCUUGUUGGAGCAGCAGCCGGAGCAGGCCUUGCCAGUGGUGGGGCACCUCGUCUUGUGCACGUCCUGCCGAGACAUAGGUGAAGUGAAAAUAUUGCUACUCACACUGGUUUACUGGUUGGUAAUGUGUGUUCCAUGUAGUAAGUUGUUUGGCGUGUAUCGUGAUUAUCUUGGCCUCUCAUGCAUAACCAUCCAUACAUUGCUAAAUUAUUAUUAUCUUAUUUUGUUAUGUUAUAUCUUAUGUUGUUGUGGUCUUUUCUUAUUUUAUGUUAUUUCGUAUCUUAUUUUCUCUUAUGUAUUUAUGCUCUUAUCUUAGACUGUUAUGUUCUUAUCUUAUACUUUUAUGUUCUUAUUUUAUAUUUUUGUGUUUUUAUCUUAUCUCCUAUCUUAUGUAGUCAUGUUGUUAUCUUGUCUUGUGUUCACCUCAAUGUCCUGUGGCGUGAGGGACUUGAAGGCGUCCAGGAUGGGGCGGUAGCCAGUGCAGCGACACACUGUCCCGUCCAGCUGCUGUUCCACAUCCUCCUUGGUCCACUCAGCCUUGCUCUGGGACAGCCUGGCCAGGAGAGGUGCAGUGUGUUCCCGAGUGUCACCUCCAGCCCCCAGAGGGACACUCACCCAUACAUGUUCAUCACCAUGCCGGGGGAGCAGUAGCCACACUGGGUGCCUGAGUGCUGGGUGAGGCGUUCCUGGAUCACGUGGUAGCCAUCAUACUUGUUCCCCAGCCCCUCGAUGGUGGUCAGUUCCCAGCCAACGCAUGCCAGCACAGGCACCAGGCACUGCAAUGAUGCCACUUUGAACCACAUGCUGAAACACUUCUGCAGCAGAGAGUUAGCAGACUGCAUCACAUGGCUCCAGCAUCCAGCAUACUUAGAUUUAGACAGACAAGAGAAGAAUAGAAGUACACUAAUAAAAAAGAAUACAAAUCAUGAGAAAUUCAACAAAAGAAGAGAGAUAAACACAAGUAAACUAAGAGAAAAAAUAAAAACCAUGAAAAAUCCAGCAAAGCAAAGAGAAGCAAAACACAAGUAAACCAAGAAAAAAAAACACGAAGCAAAAGAAACAAAACAAAAGUAAACCAAGAAAAGAAUAAGAACCAAGAGAGAAACCCAACUACCCAAGGAACCAACAGCCCCCAAACAAUCAAAUCCUCAACUACUGACACUAUUAAUGGUCAUGGUCUUCUUCUCCAGUGUGUCAGGGUCUGUGAGAGUGGCCACCACAGUGCAGGCCCCACAGGCACCCUUGUAGCAGGUUUUGUGGGUGCCCAGCAGCUGAUUGUCAUGCAGGAAGGUCAGUAGAUGAGUGUUAGGGGAGACCUCGCCCACUGCAGGAGAGAAGACCGUCCUUAGAGAGGCGGAGGUUAAGAGGGAUCUGAUAGAGGUCUUCAAGUUCGUUAGGUUGAAAUUUGAUGGAGGUUUUUAAGUGGUUUGAGUUUUAAGAGGGGAUCUGAUACAAGUCUUCAAGUGGAUUAGGUCUAAAGAGGGGAUCUGAUGGAGGUUUUCAAGUAGUAUAGACUAAGAGAGGAUCUGAUGGAGGUCUUCAAGUGGGUUUAGGUAUUGCAAGGGGUUCUUAACUGUAAUAUUCAUCUUAAAGACUAAAUAAAAAAAAGACAGGAAAGGUUCUAAUCCAACAUAAUAAGUGCAGCCUAAAAUAUCUACGUACAACACUAUUUUAAGUCUUUCACUGCUCCACAAACUUCUUUUUAAGCCUCCUUAAGACUCGGCACUAACUUACAUACUGAGUCUAUUUUAUUUAUCCACCACUUCCUGCAUAUCUCCUUUUUAUUUAUUUUUUAUCGAUCUUAAACCAUUAUUUUUUGUCCUGUUUGCUUAUUGAUCCUGAGGAUGUUUUUUUUUUGUCAUCCUUGUUUAUCCCUUAUACCACUUGAAAAGCUCAACAUAAGCAUUAGUGAUAAAUUAGCAUAAGUUUAGCAUAAGUAUUAGUUAAGCAUUGGCUCUUCUUUAGGGACUGGCACCUCUGUGGAUAUAUAUUAUACAUGUAUUUUGCGCCAUUGACCAGUGAUUUUACAUAAUAAAUAAAUAAUAAAAAUGUAUGAGUGUGCAUGCCCAUGCUGGCAACCAUGGACUUAGCAGAUCGCCUGUCAGCCACACGUGCUGUUGGUUGUUUUGGUGGAUCCUUGUGUGUAUACGGUGGACUGCCCUGGCAUUAAACUCAUGGAAAUCUAAUGCGUCUAAGUACAGUUCCGGUAUCACUUCACAUGAAGGUUACUUUAGGACUGCGCCAUUACCGUAACUUAUAGGAGUGAGAAUAUCUGAGCUUAACAGUAAUGCAAGUUCAUUCAUAUAGGAACAGAUCUUUAAGUCCAACCAAGGAUUCUAUAUUCCUUCCUUGUCCCCAACUGACUUCAGUUAGACUGCCUGACUUGGCCUCCUUACACUAGCUGCAUGUAGUAGUAGUUGUUGGAGAGAGAGAGAGAGAGAGAGAGAGAGAAAGAGACCUGACCCGAUGACGAUUCAUUGUGGCGACGAAGCAGAACACAACUUGUGAUCGCGACUGUACAUUAUUAAUUAAACAUCCAAAUUGACAUAACUACUAAAGAAAUCU